CGUAAGGCGCCGAAUGAGUCAUUAAAAAAUUAACAUCAUCCGGUCCCUAGUCGGCAUAGUUUAUGGUUAAGACUACGACGGUAUCUGAUCGUUUUCGAUCCCCUAACUUUCGUUCUUGAUUAAUGAAAACAUCCUUGGCAAAUGCUUUCGCAGUAGUUAGUCUUCAAUAAAUCCAAGAAUUUCACCUCUGACAAUUGAAUACUAAUGCCCCCAACUAUCCCUAUUAAUCAUUACGUCGAUCCUAGAAACCAACAAAAUAGAAUCAAACGUACCUAUUUCAUUAUUCCAUGCUAAUGUAUUCAAGCGCGAGCCUGCUUUAAACACUC
This 326-nucleotide ribosomal RNA is filed under the name uncultured Glomus. RNAcentral describes it as "partial 18S ribosomal RNA". Lineage: Eukaryota; Fungi; Glomeromycota; Glomeromycetes; Glomerales; Glomeraceae. The record is from RNAcentral.